Gadus morhua (Atlantic cod) is the source of this 1569-nucleotide long non-coding RNA. RefSeq lists it as uncharacterized. NCBI's taxonomy places the organism in Eukaryota, Metazoa, Chordata, Actinopteri, Gadiformes, Gadidae. The transcript has 2 exons. The record is from RefSeq and is a predicted model, not a curated record.
CGACCUCGCCAGGAAUCCACAACUACAUGAGCAAUUACUCUCCGCGCCAACGGUGAUGUGGCCUGCACUGCAGCAGCCUCUCUUUCCUCUGUUUGCUCAGUUGCCAGGGCAGGCAGGAGAGAGGCUGUUUCAAUCCAGCCUUCUGAUUGGUCGUCUCUACACAGCCUCACAGGACAUUUAGCAUGAAGUUGAAUUUGAUCCAACGUUUUUUUUUUCUUCGAAUUGCCGCCAGGGUCGUCAUUCUGACUGGGAGGUUUGUAGUGGUGGGAAUGAUGGCUGGACCCAGGCUGACUCACAGGGUAGGAGGGCUUUCCCCAGGCCACCGUAGAGACACAAGCUGGGGACACGUGUCUAAGCAGGGCUAGCAGUCCUCUAUCGGGUUGCUGUUUACGUACGAGGAGCUGAUUUUUGCGGUCAUAAACUUUUCUUUCUUCUAUGUUAUCACGUCCCACUGUGGAGGGAGUGUAGCCCAGGUUUUAUGGAGCGGUUUGCGACGUACACACGCCCGGGUCAAAUACACAAGAAGGCAGGAGGCUCCAAGAGUUGAGACAUCCCGUCGCAACAAGGGGAAAAUGGGCGUCUUCAUGACGGGAAUUCUUUCAAACAGGCUCGUCCAAAAAGUCUUCCGGCCCAUGCGGCCCUCUUUAUCGCUGAGUCAUGUGGUUUACCCGGCCAACCAUUUGACAGGAAUGUUGCGGGACGUUCGUGGUGACUUACCAAGACCCCCCUGGCAGAUAUCUGUGCGGGUGGCUCCAUCCAUAAUGAACUUGGGAUUCCGGCAAACCUCCUGUGGUCAGACACACACACAAACACACACACACACACAAAUUUAGCCAUGUAGACGACGCAAGGAUUCGCCCUCGCAAUUUUUUCCAAGAAGAGCUAUACGAGUAUUCUGAGUGAGAUUUCUCUUGAACUUUGACCUGACUUAACUGUUAAAUAAGGCACCAAAAUAAUCCUUUACUGGUUAAGAUGAACACAUUUUGUCUUAUGUCUUGUUUUCUUUUAAAUAUUUAGGGCUACUAUGGCAAAGCCAGAGAACUACUGUAAGUGUCUGGGAUGCGUCUGCGGCGGGUGUAAGCUGUGUGUUGUGCCCUGACCCAUGGGCAGGCAGAGUCAGGGCCUGAGAAGACUUUGACUCUGCCUGAAGCUAAUGCUCCCAUGCAUUGAUGCGCCUUCAUUAUGAUGACAAGGGGUCUCCAGCCAGUUAUUGAAUGAUGCCUUUGUUUUGUAGCUUGUGAAAUACAGUAUAUCUUCAAAGCGGUUUAAAACUGUAAACUGCUUUGAAACCGAUUUGAGGAUAUUCCGUCUCUUCAACUGUGCUUGCUUGUUCAUUGGACGUUCAACUCUGCUUCAUUUGCUGCUGCAUGAAUGCAUGCACAUAAGAACGUGUGUUCAGCAGGAUUUACAUACAAGGGCAGCCCGACUACCUGUGUGAGAUUCCCAUCAGCAACAUGGUUGGAUUCUCACAAACAAGUACACACGCACGCGCGCGCGCGCACACACACACACGCACACACACACACACACACACACACACACACACACACACACACACACGCGACCCAC